CCUACGGGCGGCAGCAGUGAGGAAUAUUGGUCAAUGGACGAGAGUCUGAACCAGCCAAGUCGCGUGAAGGAUGACUGCCCUAUGGGUUGUAAACUUCUUUUAUAUGGGAGUAAAAUGUUCCACGUGUGGGAUUUUCUAUGUACCAUAAGAAUAAGGAACGGCUAACUCCGUGCCAGCCGCCGCGGUAAUACGGGGGGUAGGAGCGUUAUCCGGAUUUAUUUGGUUUAAAGGGAUCGUAGGUGGAUUGUUAAGUCAGUUGUGAAAGUUUGCGGCUCAACCGUAAAAUUGCAGUUGAAACUGGCAGUCUUGAGUACAGUAGAGGUGGGCGGAAUUCGUGGUGUAGCGGUGAAAUGCUUAGAUAUCACGAAGAACUCCGAUUGCGAAGGCAGCUCACUGGACUGCAACUGACGCUGAGGCUCGAAAGUGUGGGUAUCAAACAGGAUUAGAUACCCGAGUAGUC
Molecule: ribosomal RNA, 460 nt
Filed under: uncultured bacterium
Lineage: Bacteria
Description: partial 16S ribosomal RNA
Rfam family: Bacterial small subunit ribosomal RNA
Source: RNAcentral